UGGGGAAUUUUGGACAAUAGGCGCAAGCCUGAUCCAGCAAUGCCGCGUGCAGGAUGAAGGCCUUCGGGUUGUAAACUGCUUUUGUACGGAGCGAAAAGGCUUCCACUAAUACUGGGGGCUCAUGACGGUACCGUAAGAAUAAGCACCGGCUAACUACGUGCCAGCAGCCGCGGUAAUACGUAGGGUGCAAGCGUUAAUCGGAAUUACUGGGCGUAAAGCGUGCGCAGGCGGUCUUGUAAGACAGGUGUGAAAUCCCCGGGCUUAACCUGGGAACUGCACUUGUGACUGCAAGGCUGGAGUACGGCAGAGGGGGAUGGAAUUCCGCGUGUAGCAGUGAAAUGCGUAGAUAUGCGGAGGAACACCGAUGGCGAAGGCAAUCCCCUGGGCCUGUACUGACGCUCAUGCACGAAAGCGUGGGGAGCAAACAGGAUUAGAUACCCUGGUAGUCCACGCCCUAAACGAUGUCAACUGGUUGUUGGGUCUUCACUGACUCAGUAACGAAGCUAACGCGUGAAGUUGACCGCCUGGGGAGUACGGCCGCAAGGUU
Molecule: ribosomal RNA, 547 nt
Filed under: uncultured bacterium
Lineage: Bacteria
Description: bacterial SSU rRNA
Rfam family: Bacterial small subunit ribosomal RNA
Source: RNAcentral